UGACUCUGGGAUAAGCCUGGGAAACCGGGUCUAAUACCGGAUACGACCACCGUCCGCAUGGGCUGGUGGUGGAAAGUUUUUCGGUUGGGGAUGGGCUCGCGGCCUAUCAGCUUGUUGGUGGGGUGAUGGCCUACCAAGGCGACGACGGGUAACCGGCCUGAGAGGGCGACCGGUCACACUGGGACUGAGACACGGCCCAGACUCCUACGGGAGGCAGCAGUGGGGAAUAUUGCGCAAUGGGCGGAAGCCUGACGCAGCGACGCCGCGUGGGGGAUGACGGCCUUCGGGUUGUAAACCUCUUUCAGCAGGGACGAAGCUAACGUGACGGUACCUGCAGAAGAAGCGCCGGCUAACUACGUGCCAGCAGCCGCGGUAAUACGUAGGGCGCAAGCGUUGUCCGGAAUUAUUG
This 409-nucleotide ribosomal RNA is filed under the name Actinomadura sp. Its description in RNAcentral is "bacterial SSU rRNA". It matches the Rfam family "Bacterial small subunit ribosomal RNA", at positions 133 to 556 of the family's 1533-position model. Lineage: Bacteria; Bacillati; Actinomycetota; Actinomycetes; Streptosporangiales; Thermomonosporaceae. The record is from RNAcentral.